GGCUUCUGGCAUGGGGCAAGACUUGCUCCAGUGGGGCUUUGGUGCUCACUGAGUCUGCCCCCUGAGUGUGUCCCU
This 75-nucleotide microRNA precursor is filed under the name Myotis lucifugus (little brown bat). RNAcentral's name for it is "mir-9229 microRNA precursor family". It matches the Rfam family "mir-9229 microRNA precursor family". Lineage: Eukaryota; Metazoa; Chordata; Mammalia; Chiroptera; Vespertilionidae. The record is from Rfam by way of RNAcentral.